This 253-nucleotide ribosomal RNA is filed under the name uncultured bacterium. RNAcentral's name for it is "partial 16S ribosomal RNA". It matches the Rfam family "Bacterial small subunit ribosomal RNA", at positions 524 to 776 of the family's 1533-position model. The record is from RNAcentral.
UACGUAGGUGGCAAGCGUUAUCCGGAUUUAUUGGGUGUGAAGGGAGCGUAGACGGCAGUGCAAGUCUGGAGUGAAAGGCGGGGGCUCAACCCCCGGACUGCUCUGGAAACUGUACGGCUGGAGUGCAGGAGAGGUAAGUGGAAUUCCUAGUGUAGCGGUGAAAUGCGUAGAUAUUAGGAGGAACACCAGUGGCGAAGGCGGCUUACUGGACUGUAACUGACGUUGAGGCUCGAAAGCGUGGGGAGCAAACAGG